Molecule: non-coding RNA, 21 nt
Filed under: Arabidopsis thaliana (thale cress)
Lineage: Eukaryota; Viridiplantae; Streptophyta; Magnoliopsida; Brassicales; Brassicaceae
Source: RNAcentral
UUCGUUUCAGAGUGUUUCUGA